GAACCUGAAACCCUGCACUUACAAGCUGUGAAGCACAUUUCUUGUGUGACCGCGUACUUUUGUAGAACGGGCCAACGAGUUACGUUAAGUAGCAAGGUUAAGCACUUAAGGUGCGGAGCCGUAGCGAAAGCGAGUUUUAACUGAGCGUUCAGUUACUUGACGUAGACCCGAAACCGGGCGACCUACCCAUGAGCAGGAUGAAGCGAAAGUAAAAUUUCGUGGAGGUCCGAACCCACGAGCGUUGAAAAGCUCGGGGAUGACUUGUGGGUAGCGGUGAAAAUUCCAAUCGAGCCCGGAGAUAGCUGGUUCUCCCCGAAAUAGCUUUAGGGCUAGCCUCAAGGUGAGAGAUACGGAGGUAGAGCACUGAAUGUCCUAGGGGGUAUGCACCUACCGAAGACUAUCAAACUCCGAAUGCCGUCAUCUUAUACUUGGGAGUCAGACUGUGGGUGAUAAGAUUCAUAGUCCGAAAGGGCAACAGCCAGAUCGUCAGCUAAGGUCCCUAAAUGUAAGUUAAGUGGUAAAGGAUGUGGGAUUGCACAGACAACCAGGAUGUUGGCUUAGAAGCAGCCACUCAUUCAAAGAGUGCGUAAUAGCUCACUGGUCGAGUGAUCCUGCGCCGAAGAUUUCCGGGGCUAAAACUUACUACCGAAGCUACGGCAUCAGUAAUGAUGGGUAGGGGAGCUUCCCAUACGGGUUGAAGCAUGACCGUAAGGACAUGUGGACAGUAUGGGAGUGAGAAUGUUGGCAUGAGUAGCGAGAUGUGGGUGAGAAUCCCACAGGCCGUAAACCCAAGGUUUCCAGGGGAAGGUUCGUCCGCCCUGGGUUAGUCGGGACCUAAGCUGAGGCCGAAAGGCGUAGGUGAUGGACAACAGGUUGAUAUUCCUGUACUACCGAUAACCGUUUGAGAGAAGGGAUGACACAGUAGGAUAAGCUAAGCACACUGUUGGUUAUGUGUGCCCAAGCAUUGAGGCAGUCAAAGUAGGCAAAUCCGCUUUGAUAAUGCUGGGAUGUGAUGGGGAGCGAAAUUUAGUAGCGAAGUAGCUGAUUUCACACUGUCAAGAAAAGUCUCUAUCGAGGUUAAAGGUACCCGUACCGCAAACCGACACAGGUGGGUGAGGAGAGUAUCCUAAGGCCAGCGAGAGAACUGUUGUUAAGGAACUCGGCAAAAUGACCCCGUAACUUAGGGAUAAGGGGUGCCACCAUCAGGUGGCCGCAGAGAAUAGGCCCAAGCGACUGUUUACCAAAAACAUAGGUUUCUGCUAAGUCGCAAGACGAUGUAUAGGAGCUGACGCCUGCCCGGUGCUGGAAGGUUAAGGGGAUCUGUUAGAGCAAUCGAAGCAGUGAACUUAAGCCCCAGUAAACGGCGGCCGUAACUAUAACGGUCCUAAGGUAGCGAAAUUCCUUGUCGGGUAAGUUCCGACCCGCACGAAAGGCGUAACGAUUUGGGCACUGUCUCAACAACAGACUCGGUGAAAUUGUAAUUCCGGUGAAGAUGCCGGAUACCUGCGACAGGACGGAAAGACCCCAUGGAGCUUUACUGUAGCUUGACAUUGGGUCUUGGUACUACAUGUACAGGAUAGGUGGGAGGCUUUGAAACCAGGACGCCAGUUUUGGCGGAGCCAUCCUUGGGAUACCACCCUUGUAGUACUGGGACUCUAACCAUAGGCCAUGAAUCUGGUCUUGGGACACUGUCAGGUGGGCAGUUUGACUGGGGCGGUCGCCUCCCAAAAGGUAACGGAGGCGCUCAAAGGUUCUCUCAGUACGGUCGGAAAUCGUACGUAGAGUGUAAAGGCAAAAGAGAGCUUGAUUGCAAGACAUACAGGUCGAGCAAGGAUGAAAAUCGGACUUAGUGAUCCGGUGGUUCUGCGUGGAAGGGCCAUCGCUCAACGGAUAAAAGCUACCCUGGGGAUAACAGGCUUAUCUCCCCCAAGAGUCCACAUCGACGGGGAGGUUUGGCACCUCGAUGUCGGCUCAUCACAUCCUGGGGCUGUAGUAGGUCCCAAGGGUUGGGCUGUUCGCCCAUUAAAGUGGUACGCGAGCUGGGUUCAGAACGUCGUGAGACAGUUCGGUCCCUAUCCGUCGCAGGCGUAGGAAAUUUGAGAAGACCUGUCCUUAGUACGAGAGGACCGGGAUGGACGUACCUCUGGUGUACCAGUUGUUCUGCCAAGGGCAUGGCUGGGUAGCUAUGUACGGAAUGGAUAAGCGCUGAAAGCAUCUAAGCGCGAAGCCAACUUCAAGAUAAGAUUUCCCACCGCAAGGGUAAGACCCCAGAAAGACUAUCUGGUUGAUAGGUCGAAGGUGUAAGUGCAGCAAUGUAUUUAGCUUAUCGAUACUAAUAGGUCGAGGACUUGACCAA
Molecule: ribosomal RNA, 2356 nt
Filed under: Clostridioides difficile
Lineage: Bacteria; Bacillati; Bacillota; Clostridia; Peptostreptococcales; Peptostreptococcaceae
Description: bacterial LSU rRNA
Rfam family: Bacterial large subunit ribosomal RNA
Source: RNAcentral